Molecule: non-coding RNA, 780 nt
Organism: Heterocephalus glaber (naked mole-rat)
Lineage: Eukaryota; Metazoa; Chordata; Mammalia; Rodentia; Bathyergidae
Source: RefSeq, a predicted model, not a curated record
UGUUAACGAGCCUCAUUCAUGUUGUCUUUUCAGGCAAAGUCCUGAAUCUAGAAAAAUAUCUGUGAAAUGAUGUCACAAGUUACUUUCAUUACACCUUCUUUGUUAGUUUUAUUACAUUGUUCAUGCUGGUCAGAGGUCAGCAAGCAUCUCCCGUCACCUCCAUCAACAUUUAGAAUGUUGUGGAGAGCCCUUUACAGAACCUCUCACUUGGACACCACGAACAAGGCUAAGACCAGUCCAUGGGCACUGCACGGAACCCCAUGUAGAGAUCCUGCCAGACCGUGACUUCUUCUGGUCAUUGUCCCCCUCUGUUCGAGGUGAUUGCCACUGUAAGAGACAAACUGACAGUGUUUGAAUUUUCUGAUUGUAGAAGCCUGAGCUUAACAAUUUAUUGCCAAAGUUUUAGUCUUUUCAUAAUAUCUGGAAAUUCUUUCAACAGCAGGUAGAAGGAAGAUAGAGUGCACUGGACCAUCCAGAUAAACUUGAGGACUGUGGGGAUCCUAGAAGUGCUGCUCACGUUCUUCUACUGUGAGAAGAAAUGAAGUCACCACCUACCUCAAGGCCCGUAGUGGAAAAGUCCAGGACUGGUCAGUCUGUGACCCUGUCAUCCAAAGGAGUGGAGACAGCACCAGCGGCACAGAGCAGUGGGCAAAUGGGAGCAACCUUGACUGGUGUCAGGUGACAAGAGCUGGGCAGAGAAUUCUUUCAGUAGCAGGCGGAAGGAAGAUAGACUGCACUGUACUACUUUCUAAAUGAAAUCCUGGGCUGUGGGAAUUCUAG